Molecule: ribosomal RNA, 563 nt
Filed under: Scheffersomyces cryptocercus
Lineage: Eukaryota; Fungi; Ascomycota; Pichiomycetes; Serinales; Debaryomycetaceae
Description: eukaryotic LSU rRNA
Rfam family: Eukaryotic large subunit ribosomal RNA
Source: RNAcentral
AUUGUCUUAGUAACGGCGAGUGAAGCGACAAAAGCUCAAAUUUGAAAUCUGGCACCUUCGGUGUCCGAGUUGUAAUUUGAAGAAGGUAACUUUGGAGUUGGCUCUUGUCUAUGUUCCUUGGAACAGGACGUCACAGAGGGUGAGAAUCCCGUGCGAUGAGAUGUCCAACUCUAUGUAAAGUGCUUUCGAAGAGUCGAGUUGUUUGGGAAUGCAGCUCUAAGUGGGUGGUAAAUUCCAUCUAAAGCUAAAUAUUGGCGAGAGACCGAUAGCGAACAAGUACAGUGAUGGAAAGAUGAAAAGAACUUUGAAAAGAGAGUGAAAAAGUACGUGAAAUUGUUGAAAGGGAAGGGUUUGAGAUCAGACUUGGUAUUUUGUAUGUCUUGCUUUCGGGUGGGGCCUCUGCAGUUUACUGGGCCAGCAUCGGUUUGGACGGUAGGAUAAUGACAUUGGAAUGUGGCACUACUUCGGUGGUGUGUUAUAGACUUUGUUGAUACUGCCUGUCUAGACCGAGGACUGCGUCUUUGACUAGGAUGCUGGCAUAAUGAUCCUAAACCGCCCGUCUG